This 534-nucleotide ribosomal RNA is filed under the name Bifidobacterium bifidum. RNAcentral's name for it is "bacterial SSU rRNA". It matches the Rfam family "Bacterial small subunit ribosomal RNA", at positions 155 to 701 of the family's 1533-position model. The record is from RNAcentral. Lineage: Bacteria; Bacillati; Actinomycetota; Actinomycetes; Bifidobacteriales; Bifidobacteriaceae.
ACGGGGUGGUAAUGCCGGAUGUUCCACAUGAUCGCAUGUGAUUGUGGGAAAGAUUCUAUCGGCGUGGGAUGGGGUCGCGUCCUAUCAGGUUGUUGGUGAGGUAACGGCUCACCAAGGCUUCGACGGGUAGCCGGCCUGAGAGGGCGACCGGCCACAUUGGGACUGAGAUACGGCCCAGACUCCUACGGGAGGCAGCAGUGGGGAAUAUUGCACAAUGGGCGCAAGCCUGAUGCAGCGACGCCGCGUGAGGGAUGGAGGCCUUCGGGUUGUAAACCUCUUUUGUUUGGGAGCAAGCCUUCGGGUGAGUGUACCUUUCGAAUAAGCGCCGGCUAACUACGUGCCAGCAGCCGCGGUAAUACGUAGGGCGCAAGCGUUAUCCGGAUUUAUUGGGCGUAAAGGGCUCGUAGGCGGCUCGUCGCGUCCGGUGUGAAAGUCCAUCGCUUAACGGUGGAUCUGCGCCGGGUACGGGCGGGCUGGAGUGCGGUAGGGGAGACUGGAAUUCCCGGUGUAACGGUGGAAUGUGUAGAUAUCGGG